CACGUAGGGUGCGAGCGUUGUCCGGAAUUAUUGGGCGUAAAGAGCUCGUAGGCGGUGUGUCGCGUCGGCCGUGAAAACCUGCAGCUUAACUGUGGGCUUGCGGUCGAUACGGGCAUCACUGGAGUUCGGCAGGGGAGACUGGAAUUCCUGGUGUAGCGGUGAAAUGCGCAGAUAUCAGGAGGAACACCGGUGGCGAAGGCGGGUCUCUGGGCCGAUACUGACGCUGAGACGCGAAAGCCAGGGGAGCAAACGGG
Molecule: ribosomal RNA, 254 nt
Filed under: uncultured bacterium
Lineage: Bacteria
Description: partial 16S ribosomal RNA
Rfam family: Bacterial small subunit ribosomal RNA
Source: RNAcentral